RNAcentral lists this ribosomal RNA (793 nucleotides) under Pyura sp. RPP-2008. RNAcentral describes it as "SSU rRNA". It matches the Rfam family "Eukaryotic small subunit ribosomal RNA", at positions 445 to 1240 of the family's 1831-position model. Lineage: Eukaryota; Metazoa; Chordata; Ascidiacea; Stolidobranchia; Pyuridae. The record is from RNAcentral.
CCAUUCCCGACACGGGGAGGUAGUGACGAAAAAUAACAAUACAGGACUCUAACGAGGCCCUGUAAUUGGAAUGAGUACAUUCUAAAACUCUUAACGAGUAUCCAUUGGAGGGCAAGUCUGGUGCCAGCAGCCGCGGUAAUUCCAGCUCCAACAGUGUAUGCUAAAGUUGUUGCGGUUGAAAAGCUCGUAGUUGGAUCUUGGGCGAGCGCCGGCGGUCCGUCGCAAGGCGUGUCACUGUCGGCGCCUGCCUCACCUUCGGUUCUCCGUCGGUGCUCUUGACUGAGUGUCGGCGGUGGCCGAGACGUUUACUUUGAAAAAAUUAGAGUGUUCAAAGCAGGCUGGUCGCCUGAAUAGUGUUGCAUGGAAUAAUGGAAUAGGACCUCGGUUCUAUUUUGUUGGUUUUCGGAGCGCGAGGUAAUGAUUAAGAGAGACAGACGGGGGCGUCCGUACUCUGCCGUUAGAGGUGAAAUUCUUGGAUCGGCGGAAGACGAACUACUGCGAAAGCAUUCGCCAAGAAUGUUUUCUUUAAUCAAGAGCGAAAGUCAGAGGUUCGAAGACGAUCAGAUACCGUCCUAGUUCUGACUAUAAACGAUGCCAACUAGCGAUCGGGAGGCGUUACCAUGACGACCUUCCCGGCAGCUUCCGGGAAACCAAAGUCUUUGGGUUCCGGGGGAAGUAUGGUUGCAAAGCUGAAACUUAAAGGAAUUGACGGAAGGGCACCACCAGGAGUGGAGCCUGCGGCUUAAUUUGACUCAACACGGGGAAACUCACCCGGCCCGGACACAGGUAGGAU